UACGUAGGGUGCAAGCGUUAAUCGGAAUUACUGGGCGUAAAGCGUGUGUAGGUGGUCAAGAAAGUCGGUUGUGAAAUCCCUGGGCUCAACCCGGGAACUGCUUCCGAUACUUCAUGACUCGAAUUCGGUAGAGGGAGGCGGAACUCCAGGUGUAGCGGUGAAAUGCGUAGAUAUCUGGAAGAACACCAAUGGCGAAGGCAACCUCCUGGGCCUGAAUUGACACUGAGACACGAAAGCGUGGGGAUCAAACAGG
This 253-nucleotide ribosomal RNA is filed under the name uncultured bacterium. RNAcentral's name for it is "partial 16S ribosomal RNA". It matches the Rfam family "Bacterial small subunit ribosomal RNA", at positions 524 to 776 of the family's 1533-position model. The record is from RNAcentral.